GAAACACAGAGUGGGAGAGAGAAGGGGGGAGGACGGAAGAGAGAGACAAGAGACAGAGCAGAGGUGUAAAAGAACAUAUCUGCGGGGGAGAGAGAUCCCUAAAUUAUCCUGAUAAUCUGGAGUGUUCUGGCUGAAUAAUAUUGAGAAACAUUCUGUGCUGAUACCGUAUUGCAUGAGGAACCCAUUUACACAAUAGGACAUUAUACAGCUACCAUCUCCUCUAACGGUAAAUUGAAAAUUGCGCCAUCAACCGGACUCCCACGUUACUAAAGAGACUUGUUGCAUUGGACUUGCAUUCUUACUAGGGCAGCUUUGGAACGGACUCCUCAAAUGAAACUCCAUUACAUCUCCUGACUUGAUAUCCAGGGUAACAUAUACCUUUUUAAAUGCUACAUAUGAAUUCACUAUUUUUUGUGUUUUGUAUGCAUUGUGUGCUUUUUAUUAAAAUGUUAUUUUUAAA
Molecule: long non-coding RNA, 460 nt
Organism: Pseudophryne corroboree (corroboree frog)
Lineage: Eukaryota; Metazoa; Chordata; Amphibia; Anura; Myobatrachidae
Exons: 2
Source: RefSeq, a predicted model, not a curated record